AAAUAUCGGUGUAUAAUAUUUAUUUACCUUAGAUAAACCUGCAUAACACUCAAUAGAAAAUUUAUCCAAAGCAUAUGAGAACAGCAAACACUUUCCAAUUCUCACAACAAUCUAAAAAAUUUAUUCUUCUCCCUAAGACAUAAUUUUAUAUAUUAAAAACUCAGCAACAACAAUGUACUUCAGAAACUUUAGUACAUCUCAAAUUUUUGUAAAGCGGCUAUGAAAAUAUUAUUCAUCCAUUCAAAACUGCAGAUCUCCAAUUCAAAGUGUCCGUAUAUCAUAGGCACUGGUUGACCGAGCCGAGCCAUAUAACCUCCAACACCAACCUUGUUCUACACUUCUAAUGUAUGUAACUUUUGGCAUGACGAUCACCAUUUGUUGAGAAUUUAUUCCCUUAAGAUUGUGUUAAUCAAUCUUAUGUCCAAAUUAAAAGCUCCAAAUCAACCUCUAACCCAACAAUGAGAAGGGCGACUUUAAUUUUUAUGUUUCUGCGUCUCUGUCACUAAACAGAGAAAAUAACUCGAUAUAAAUGGGCCAGAGAAAAAUUGUUAAAGCGAAAGCAGUUUUAAACAAAAGAGUGUUGAAAGUAAAGAGUCAUAUAUGGUAACUAAAUAAAUUUAGUUAUUAAGCCUCACAAAGUUAUUUGUAGUAUCUCGAAAGUUAUUCACAAUACAUAAUAACUGGACUUGUAUAUAAGUAAGUAAGACAAAGAUUUGAGACUUAAGUUUGUCAAAAAUAUCAUCACCUUACUUUUCUGAUUAAGCUAAGAAUAUUAGAAAAUGCAUGAUAACUAAUAUUUGUUGUUGUCUCUACACAAACUCUUUUCCAGAAUUGUUUUCCAAUAACAAAAAAAAAAAAUCAGCCUAAGGAAAAAAAGGAUCUACAAAGAGAGACGAUGAUAGAAGAAAUUAUGGAAAGGAAGAAUGUAAGUGAAAAAUUGAUCUUGCACAUCUAAAACAUAAAGUAAGUGAUAUGCUUGUAGAAAUAUAAUGAAUAAACUUCCAUAAUGUUCAUAGUAUACAUGCGAAAAACAAGUAAAAAAUAGAAGAAUCUAAUAAUAAUGAAUAUUAAUCUGGUUGUGAAAUGUAAAAAGCUAAUACAGUUCCAUAACGAGGUGCAUCUUCCUCAAAUAUAACUUUGUGCAUCUAAAUGUCCUUGAGACGGUGCAAAUAUCUAGUAAAAAAAAAGCCCCAUAUUUUAGAUAAAAUUUUAAUAAAUUAACAAAAUAGAGCCCAUAACAUAUGCAAAGAUAAAUCUUUAACGACAUGCAUGUUCCUCAAGUACAACUUUGUGCAUCUUAAUGUCCCUAAGACAGAAAAAAGAAGCAUCACAUUUUGGAUAAAACUUUAAUAAAGUAACGAAAGAUAUGGUAGAACAUAUGCAGAGAUAAUCUUUAAAUACCAAGAGGAGAAUGCUAUAACAUGAUAAAAGCCUUAAUUUCUAGUUACUUUUCCUUUGCAUUGCGUUCCACUGCCAGAAGGCAUUUAAUCGGUCAACUCUGUAGCAAGCACAAAUGAUGCAGACCAAAAAUAAAUGUGAGAAAUAAUCUAUUGAAAAAUAUUAUCUGGAGAGAACGACUAACACGCUUAUAUACCUUAUUUUGUCUUUUAUUCACUUGUUCUGUUGUCUUAUUACAUCCUAGAUGAUUUGUUAACAUAUAUAUGAAAUGCUGGUUCAAAUAAUACCUAUUACUAAAGUAGAUUAUUAUCAAAACAUGAAAUGCUAGUUCAAGAUUAUAAUACAAUUAGCAGAAAGGACUGAAACCAACUUAAGUCUCACUUAUGGGUAUUGGUUCUCUUUUGUCUCUGAGUCCUAAAAGGAUGGAGAGUAAAGAAGAAGCUCCCAACAUAUUGGCUCAUAUUCUAUAAAAUAUCACUCUGAAAAAUGAUUUAAUUAACACAUGCUGAUAACAUCUACCAUGUCAUAUAAUUUUUUAUUUAUUUAUUUGAAAAGGAGGAAACUAUAAAUUUAUUAUAUGGGUUCGAUCCACUAAACAAAAGUUGUUGAUACAUUUAUUUGAGAAUAAAUUUGUACAUUUACAUUUUUUAGCUUUGUUUCUAUGAUGGUCAGAAAAAGAAAAAAUAAAAUGAUUGUUCAUGAUCAUGUUGAUAUAUAAGGCUGGGUCAAAAAUUAAAUAUAUUACUUUCUUUUAUCCUCAAUUGCCUUCAAUAAUAUUGGUCAUCUUGAAGAAAAUGGUUAUAAUUGAUGAUUAUAAUUAAUAAACUGAUGCUUAUGAUUCCUUUUUAUCAAUUGACAUUCUGGAAAAUCUCUAUGCGAAAUAGUGAAGCUUCUAAAACACCACAAGCUAGAAAUUAAUAAUGGCAACAAGCAAUCCAAAAAUAUAUCACUCAUUGCAUGUACUUUGAAAAAGGCAAGUUUCCAUCAGAUCAUUCUAAACUCAGCUAUUUCCUAUUCUUUAUGUUGAUCUAGUUCUAAAGACUAAGACUUAAUGUUUAAUCAUACCUUACCCAAAAAGAAAAAGAAAAGAAAAAAAACUUAAUGUUUAAUCCAAGCUAAACCAAUAAAGUUACUUUGAAGGUAAACAUGCUAAAUUAAAACACCAAAAAGCACAAUCUAAUAACUAAAUUUUACAUUCACAACUUUUUCAAAAUAAAGCAAUAGAUAAUGACAAUGAAAGGAACUUACUUGAGAUGCUCCAUAGACCACCCAAUAUAUCUUGGUGAGCCUUUUAUAGCCACUACUUCAUCUUUGUAUGUCACAAACCAGCCAUGUGCAAUCCCUGAAUAUUUUUUCACAAAUGCAUAUUUAAAACUGCUAUGAGGUUUGAUAUAGUGACAUCUUAUCAGUCUAAUAUUUCUUAAAAUAAAAAAAUUUGGAACAUUAUAAUGCUAAUUUUCCUUCUACUUGUCCGAACUUGCAACUUACAUUGAACAUCACAUAGCGACCUCAAAGGCUCCACAUAUUCACUAUCACAUUCAUAUUCACACACAACUAAUACAGAAAACACAUAAUGCAAACCUUUUCUUCAUAAGGAGAAACACUAAAAUUGCAAAUUUCCCUUUACAUAUACAAUUCAAUCUAAAUCAUUGCCUAUUCGGUGAUUUCAUAACCAUUUACUUAUAAACCUCUUUCUCACCUAUUUUCGUGGUUGUUCAGUCACAUCUUUCGACCGAACAACCUUAUUUACCAUAGCACUAUCAUGCCACUUCAUAAUUUAGUGAUUCAAACCAUCUUUCUUUUUCGCAUAUAAAACAUCAAUCACUGAUUUGAAAUGAAGGCAUCUUUUAUUUUUUGUUUUUCUCUGCUUGUACAAUAUUGACCUUUUUUGAGUUUGUGGAAUAUGUAUGAAGUUGAGUUUGAAUUUAAAGGAUGUAAACCAUCUAUGCCACAAGUACAAAAUGAAAAUGCUAAAAACCAACAAAGAUUUGCAUAAGUUAUAUAGCAAAUUAUAGAGUGAUAGCCAGUCAAUGGAAUUACCAUCAGAGGAAUGCUCCAAAUGAAUCUAUAACCAGAAAUAUAUGAGCAUGUGUACUCAAAAAGGUAAAUGCUUAGCCACUACUCAGUGUAACUAUCCUGAAGCAAAUGCAAUACCUAUCUAGUAGCAAUUCAAAGGCCAUUUUUUCUUGGUCCAGGAGAAUUAUUGAGGCCACUAACUUACAUUUAUCAAUUUUCUGGUUCAAGUGAGGAUGAAAUCAACAAAUAUAUGAUCACUAAAUAGUAAUAGAUCCACUAAGUAUUUUGUACAUGGCAUAUAACAUACAAAAUCGGAUGAAGAGCCUCAUUCAAUAAAAGAACACUGAGUACUUUGUAAAAAUACCCCAAUCGUUUAAACCUAUAUCAAUGAAAUAAUAUUUAUCAAAAUACAUGUGACAGAAGAUUUUGCCUUUCUUUUUAUUACAACCAUUGCUAGCACACGCAAACUAAUAGAAUGUGAAGUGAUGUUUGAGGAGAAAUACUCUGCUUCUCUGCUUAACACCUUUCUUCAUUCGUCUUUUAUCCUUUUGUGUGUUAUACCAGUGAAUCAUUGAAAAGUUUCUUAUCAUCAUUCAAUUUAAUUUUUUUGGCGAAAAGUCAAAAUCGUGUACCAAAUUUCAUCUACCAAAUUAAUUUGGUUAUAGUAAAAUUCUAUUCGAAUUUCAAAUAGAAGAUAAAUCAAAUAUGUAAAACGGAGAAGAAAGAACUUGUUUUCUAUUUGACAACCUUAAGAUUUCAUGCCUACAACCACCAAUUGAGACGUCUUCUUUCGCAAUCUGUCAUUGGCAUUGUUGGUUCUUCGAUAUAUUCAUCAUUUGUACAAAUCUCCUGCCGUUCAUAUCAAUGAAAAUAGUAGAACAAACUCUGGUUCUUCUAUCUGGUCAUCUUGAUGAAAUUAGAGGAGUUUUAAACUUCUCCAGAGAAGAGAGAAACUGAUCUCUACAGCAGUUUUGCUAUGUUAAUUUGUUAUCUUUUUUGUGCGCUUGAUUUUGCAAUUUCGUGGGAUCAUGGGGGAGUGUGGUUCUUAUCUUUUAAUUU
Molecule: long non-coding RNA, 4473 nt
Filed under: Nicotiana tabacum (common tobacco)
Lineage: Eukaryota; Viridiplantae; Streptophyta; Magnoliopsida; Solanales; Solanaceae
Description: long non-coding RNA (NTAB_LNC009721)
Source: RNAcentral